RNAcentral lists this unclassified non-coding RNA (251 nucleotides) under Vibrio diazotrophicus. Its description in RNAcentral is "partial miscellaneous RNA". Lineage: Bacteria; Pseudomonadati; Pseudomonadota; Gammaproteobacteria; Vibrionales; Vibrionaceae. The record is from RNAcentral.
UAGCUCUUUAACAAUUUGGAAAGCUGACAAAUAACGAUUUGAUUAAUCGUUAUUUAUUAAAAGUUCUCAAAUCCUGUGUCUCUUAGAGAUGUAGGUACCAAUACACAUUCAAGUGUUCUUGGGAAUCUUACUUUUUAAGUAAGUAUUCAUAUUUGAGUCCGGCAAAAUCGAAAUGUCUCUCGCUCAUUCAAAUAAUGAGAGACAACUAAACCUUGGUUGUUUGCCAUACAUAAAGACCUCUUGGGGUUGUA